Molecule: ribosomal RNA, 547 nt
Filed under: Trichoderma sp. CJL-2014
Lineage: Eukaryota; Fungi; Ascomycota; Sordariomycetes; Hypocreales; Hypocreaceae
Description: eukaryotic LSU rRNA
Rfam family: 5.8S ribosomal RNA (bases 170-323)
Source: RNAcentral
CGUUACCAAACUGUUGCCUCGGCGGGAUCUCUGCCCCGGGUGCGUCGCAGCCCCGGACCAAGGCGCCCGCCGGAGGACCAACCAAAACUCUUUUUGUAUACCCCCUCGCGGGUUUUUUAUAAUCUGAGCCUUCUCGGCGCCUCUCGUAGGCGUUUCGAAAAUGAAUCAAAACUUUCAACAACGGAUCUCUUGGUUCUGGCAUCGAUGAAGAACGCAGCGAAAUGCGAUAAGUAAUGUGAAUUGCAGAAUUCAGUGAAUCAUCGAAUCUUUGAACGCACAUUGCGCCCGCCAGUAUUCUGGCGGGCAUGCCUGUCCGAGCGUCAUUUCAACCCUCGAACCCCUCCGGGGGGUCGGCGUUGGGGAUCGGCCCUGCCUCUUGGCGGUGGCCGUCUCCGAAAUACAGUGGCGGUCUCGCCGCAGCCUCUCCUGCGCAGUAGUUUGCACACUCGCAUCGGGAGCGCGGCGCGUCCACAGCCGUUAAACACCCAACUUCUGAAAUGUUGACCUCGGAUCAGGUAGGAAUACCCGCUGAACUUAAGCAUAUCAA